This 925-nucleotide ribosomal RNA is filed under the name Amanita spissacea. RNAcentral's name for it is "LSU rRNA". It matches the Rfam family "Eukaryotic large subunit ribosomal RNA", at positions 48 to 960 of the family's 3401-position model. The record is from RNAcentral. Lineage: Eukaryota; Fungi; Basidiomycota; Agaricomycetes; Agaricales; Amanitaceae.
AAGCGGAGGAAAAGAAACUAACAAGGAUUCCCUUAGUAACUGCGAGUGAAGAGGGAAAAGCUCAAAUUUAAAAUCUGGCAGUAUUUUGCUGUCCGAGUUGUAACCUAGAGAAGUGUAACCUGUGCUGGACCGUGUAUAAGUUUCCUGGAAUGGAGCAUCACAGAGGGUGAGAAUCCCGUCUUUGACAUGGACUACCAGUGCAUUGUGGUUGUGCUCUCAACGAGUCGAGUUGUUUGGGAAUGCAGCUCUAAAUGGGUGGUAAAUUCCAUCUAAAGCUAAAUAUUGGCGAGAGACCGAUAGCGAACAAGUACCGUGAGGGAAAGAUGAAAAGAACUUUGGAAAGAGAGUUAAACAGUAUGUGAAAUUGUUGAAAGGGAAACGUUUGAAGUCAGUCGCGUUAGCUGGGGAUCAGCCUGACAUUGUUGGGUGCACUUCCUGGUUGACGGGCCAACAUCAGUUUUGACUGCCAGAAAAAGGCCAAGGGAAUGUGGCACCUUUGGGUGUGUUAUAGCCUUUGGUCAUAUAUGGUGGUUGGGACUGAGGAAUGCAGUGUGCCGAAAGGCCGGGUUUCGACCACGUUCACACUGAGGAUGUUGGCAUAAUGGCUUUAAGCGACCCGUCUUGAAACACGGACCAAGGAGUCUAACAUGCAUGCGAGUGUUUGGGUGGAAAACCCUUACGCGUAAUGAAAGUGAAAGUUGAGAUCCCUGUCGUGGGGAGCAUCGACGCCCGGACCAGAACUUUUGGGACGGAUCUGCGGUAGAGCACGUAUGUUGGGACCCGAAAGAUGGUGAACUAUGCCUGAAUAGGGUGAAGCCAGAGGAAACUCUGGUGGAGGCUCGUAGCGAUUCUGACGUGCAAAUCGAUCGUCAAAUUUGGGUAUAGGGGCGAAAGACUAAUCGAACCAUCUAGUAGCUGGUCCUGC